RNAcentral lists this ribosomal RNA (468 nucleotides) under uncultured bacterium. RNAcentral's name for it is "partial 16S ribosomal RNA". It matches the Rfam family "Bacterial small subunit ribosomal RNA", at positions 28 to 507 of the family's 1533-position model. The record is from RNAcentral.
GGCGUACGCUGGCGGCGUGCUUAACACAUGCAAGUCGAACGGAAAGGCCCUGCUUUUGUGGGGUGCUCGAGUGGCGAACGGGUGAGUAACACGUGAGUAACCUGCCCUUGACUUUGGGAUAACUUCAGGAAACUGGGGCUAAUACCGGAUAGGAGCUCCUGCUGCAUGGUGGGGGUUGGAAAGUUUCGGCGGUUGGGGAUGGACUCGCGGCUUAUCAGCUUGUUGGUGGGGUAGUGGCUUACCAAGGCUUUGACGGGUAGCCGGCCUGAGAGGGUGACCGGCCACAUUGGGACUGAGAUACGGCCCAGACUCCUACGGGAGGCAGCAGUGGGGAAUAUUGCACAAUGGGCGGAAGCCUGAUGCAGCAACGCCGCGUGCGGGAUGACGGCCUUCGGGUUGUAAACCGCUUUCGCCUGUGACGAAGCGUGAGUGACGGUAAUGGGUAAAGAAGCACCGGCUAACUACGUG